AACGGCCAUACUAUGCUGAAUAUAUCGGUUCUCGUUAGAUCACCGAAGUCAAGCAUCGUUAGACGCGGUCAGUACUUGGGUGGGUGACUACCUGGAAACAUCGUGUGCCGUU
RNAcentral lists this ribosomal RNA (112 nucleotides) under Caerostris extrusa. Lineage: Eukaryota; Metazoa; Arthropoda; Arachnida; Araneae; Araneidae. The record is from RNAcentral.